RNAcentral lists this long non-coding RNA (398 nucleotides) under Lotus japonicus. RNAcentral describes it as "long non-coding RNA (LJAP_LNC001585)". The record is from RNAcentral. Lineage: Eukaryota; Viridiplantae; Streptophyta; Magnoliopsida; Fabales; Fabaceae.
CAUUAUCUUGAUCUUAAUCACCCGCCUUCAUCUUUAUUAUCCUUGUUCUUUAUAUCCAAGAUCAACCCUCCACCAAGCCAAGAAAAUUUACCCAUAAAUUAUCCAUUCCCAGGACAACAACAACCAAUCCACAAGAAAUUAAGCAAACUCCACGACGUGCAGACAAUCUAGAAAAAAUAUGAAAAUUAAGCAAAUUCCAAACAUUUGCAACAAUGUGACAAAUUAGAAAACGUUAGCAGCUCUACGACGUUGAUAAUUUGCAACAAUUUCAUUGCUCUCAAGCUCUGGUAUUCCACAAAAAUUAAACUCCCAAAUCCAGAAAAAUCAGAAUAAGAACAAAGUAGGUUGAUGAGAAGCUUAUGGUCAUCUUCGUUCCCUCCAUCUUUACGAGAAGCUAC